RNAcentral lists this long non-coding RNA (580 nucleotides) under Ananas comosus (pineapple). RNAcentral's name for it is "long non-coding RNA (ACOM_LNC042034)". The record is from RNAcentral. Lineage: Eukaryota; Viridiplantae; Streptophyta; Magnoliopsida; Poales; Bromeliaceae.
CUCCUCUCUCUCUCUAGGUUGAAGCCGAUCGUGUGGUGCUUGCCGAGGGAGUUGGUUCGUCGCCGACGUCGCGUCGCGGUGCCGUUCGAGUGUGCGUUUGACGUGGUAGCAUCGUGGGAAGGCCGGGCGAGGGUACGAUUCCGCCGUUUCGACGUCACGCCGGUGUUGGUUUGGCAUUUAGAGGUGGGUUAAUCGUCGAUUUACCUCCUAAGUAGCUAUAUGGUCGGCAUGUAUUUAUCGUGUUGUUUAGUAUAUUUAGAUUGCUCGAUUCAUGGAUUUCAUGUUGUUAUCUUCAAAAUCUGAAUUGGAGCUUUGUCUUUUGCUAGUAUCUGCUACACAUGUGGGACUUGGAUAUGACUUAGGAGAAAACUGCGACUAUGACCUGUCAUAUGCCUAAACUACCUGAUUUAGCUUUAGGAGCCGUUGUUAUUUUGUAUCACCGCAAUAUCAGCGUGGUGGAUACCCCAAGAAGUUUAGAUCUCUGUUACGCUCGUGCUGGGAUGCCGAGUGUAUUUUUAUAGUAGUGUUCAGACUGUUCCGGAUAGUUAGGUGCCGUCGGGAUUGACGGUGACCCAGUUUG